Molecule: ribosomal RNA, 645 nt
Filed under: uncultured fungus
Lineage: Eukaryota; Fungi
Description: LSU rRNA
Rfam family: Eukaryotic large subunit ribosomal RNA
Source: RNAcentral
GCAUAUCAAUAAGCGGAGGAAAAGAAACUAACAAGGAUUCCCCUAGUAACUGCGAGUGAAGCGGGAAAAGCUCAAAUUUAAAAUCUGGCGGCCUUUGGUCGUCCGAGUUGUAGUCUGGAGAAGUGCUUUCCGCGCUGGACCGUGUACAAGUCUCUUGGAACAGAGCGUCAUAGAGGGUGAGAAUCCCGUCUUUGACACGGACUACCAGUGCUUUGUGAUGCGCUCUCAAAGAGUCGAGUUGUUUGGGAAUGCAGCUCAAAAUGGGUGGUAAAUUCCAUCUAAAGCUAAAUAUUGGCGAGAGACCGAUAACGAACAAGUACCGUGAGGGAAAGAUGAAAAGCACUUUGGAAAGAGAGUUAAACAGUACGUGAAAUUGCUGAAAGGGAAACGCUUGAAGUCAGUCGCGUCUGCCGGAACUCAGCCUUGCUUUUGCUUGGUGCACCUUCCGGUUGACGGGCCAGCAUCGAUUUUGACCGGCGGAAAAGGGUUGGAGAAAUGUGGCACCUCCGGGUGUGUUAUAGUCUCUGGUCGCAUACGUCGGUUGGGAUCGAGGAACGCAGCGCGCCGCAAGGCAGGGGUUCGCCCACUUUCGCGCUUAGGAUGCUGGCAUAAUGGCUUUAAACGACCCGUCUUGAAACACGGACC